Molecule: ribosomal RNA, 192 nt
Filed under: uncultured bacterium
Lineage: Bacteria
Description: partial 16S ribosomal RNA
Rfam family: Bacterial small subunit ribosomal RNA
Source: RNAcentral
ACGCUCGACACCUACGGAGGCAGCAGUGGGGAAUAUUGCACAAUGGAGGAAACUCUGAUGCAGCGAUGCCGCGUGAGGGAAGAAGGUUUUCGGAUUGUAAACCUCUGUCUUUGGGGACGAUAAUGACGGUACCCAAGGAGGAAGCUCCGGCUAACUACGUCNCANGCGCGAGUAUNGAGGCGGNGNGACGAG